UUUUUUUUUUUUUCUUUCUUUUUUUUUUUAGGGCCACACCUGAGGCAUAAGGAAGUUCUCAGGCCAGGGUUAGAAUCAGAGCUACAGCUGCCAGUCUAUGCCCCACCCACGGCAACGAUGGGUCCCUGACACACUGAUCAAGGCCAGGGAUCGAACCCUCAUCCUCAUGGAUCCUAGUCGGAUUUGUUUCCACUGAGCCAGAAAAGGAACUCCUGGAAAGAUGUUUUAUUGUAAUGCCGACACCCCAGCCCCACUCUGCAGAUUCUGAUGUAACCGGUCUCCGGUAGGGCUCUGACCACUGAGCAAGGCCGAGAGCCACGAUCCAUGUGGACGUUCAAGUUACCAAGAAAAGUGGCAAGGAUGACAGUGAGACAGGUGAAGGCGUUAAUGAUAGAGGAAGAACCAGGAGGUCUACAGAUGACGUUGACAAGGACAGCGGGGGGUGGGGUGGGGGGUUGGAAGACAAGAGCUUUAAAGGAGGAAGGCUUAUGAGAAAGGAGAGAAGAAAAGACGUCUGGACGUAAGAAUGGGGUCAGUGCAGGCCAUUUAUCCCACCUCCAGGGCCCAGCUACAUGGAGUGUAGGGUGGGGACCCGUGGAGUCCACCUGAGAGGCCAAGAGGGAAGCGGUGUCCUUGGGGGUCCAACAUAGAAUCGUCUAUGUAUAAGCUGAUCAGAAGACAGAUUUAGGGUCAGUGGCACGGAGAGAAAAAUGCUGGAGCCAAGGACAGUGGACGGAUGUGGGAGGGGAGCAAGCGGAACAAGUGACCCUUUCUCUUUGGGUUUAUCCGACAAGGGUGCCUGUCGUGACGCAGAGGAGGGGAGGGCAGGAGAGAAAAUGACCCGUGAGGGAGGCGUUGGAGCUCUCAUCCCCUUUACACAGCGCCGUUUACAUGUCAGGUAAAAACCCAACCGGCCUCUCCUGGACGGCAACUCUUUCUGCUCAGCCUGGUUCAUCUCUUCGUAGCAGGGAAGCAGCAGUGCAACCUUUUUAAUUAACAAGCCGUGUCUGUAUCCCACUGUACAUGUAUUUAACUGCUCAACGCACCCACCAGGUGCCUGUGGGGAAGGAGGAGAACUCUAAGAAGGGGGGGAGGGGGGAAUCAGAUAAAGGGUGUCAAAGGAACAGGUGCAGGCUUGUUAGUCACGGGGAAUGCAUAAAUCUUUGAAAUUAAUUUCCCUGAUGGUUCAUUUUUCAUUAACGUUUUCCUGGCCCAUAAAAAAAGGAACACUCUAUUCUCCUGCACCCCAGGGGACAAAGACAUAUUCUUGGAGAGAGAACCAGACUCAGACACUACUCAGAGGUUCUCAGAGACAGAACCCCAGCAUCCAGUCAGGGAGGAGCAGGACCCACUGGGAAGGGGGGGGGGGUGACCCUGGACCGGGAGGAAGAGACACAGAGGAUGCGUCUCCUUCGCGCCACCUGCUGGUUGACACGGGCAUGACAUUGGCGCCUCUGGUCUUCGGGUCCUUCCAACAGGGGAAAAAGAAAUGCAUCACAAGAUGCAUUACAAAAUGGAAAUAAACCAAAGUGGGGGGAGUGCUUAGUUAACUAAGCACUGAACGAGUAUGUAUUCGUUAAGCUUUGAGGGGUUUGCAUGUUUGAUUCUGGCAGAUAACAUUGAUUAACUGGUUAAAAUUAGAGUAAUUUUUCAAAGAGAAAGUAAGACAAUGUAAUUGGGAGGAUCCAAGGGGAGGCAAGGAAUUGGGGCAGACUGAGCUCAUUUAUUCUUUCUUUCUUUCAUCUGUUCAUCUAUUUAUCCCAUAGGUACUUUAUGAGCUCCUGGUGGAAUUUUAGGUGAAGUAGACAAGAAAAAUAUAAUUUCUGUCCACAGUGAACAUCCACGCUAGUGACGAUUUUAGAGGGAUGAACAGGUUGUGAGCAUCUUUCUUAGUAAUUUUGACAGUGGGGUUCACAUAGGUAACUAGCACACAGGAAAAAACUUGAUAUCUGUCAGCUAUCACCGCAUAAGAAACCAUCCCGAGAGGACACAAUACUUAGUGAUUGUCAGCAUACUCUGCUGGGGUGGCUCUGCUUCCAGCUGCAGGGCCACAAUGAUUCCAGUACCUGAGGUGACUCUCGGGGACCAGUGGUGACCCAGGGCAUAUUUCCCAUGGCCAUGACAGACGUGCAAGAGGGCAAGCCCAUUAAAAGCCUUUGCUCAAGCCAUUUCAGCUAACAUGCCAUUGGCCAAGGCAAGGCCCAAGGCCAAGUCCAGCAUCCAUGGGACGGAGCAGUCUCUUCCUAAACUUCCAGAUUCCAAGGCCUCAUCCCAGAUCAACUGAGGCCGACACUCCCAGGCUGGGGUCUGCACAUCUAACACAAGCCCCUCGAAUCCUCACAACACGAGUUCUCAACACAGCCCUCUCGGUUCUUCCGUUCUCUCUUCUUUCUCCUCUGAGCUCCUCUGCAGAACUUUCUGCAAGCCUCCUGCCCUUCAAAAAACAAUAGUAAUAAUAAAUGCACAAUCUCCAAAACAAUGUUUUUGGAGCAAGGACAUCCUGUCCACCCCUAUGCAUGUCCAAGCUCAGUCUGUUUCUUUUCAUUUAUCUAUUUAUUUUUAUGAUGAUUUUUUUUAUUAUAGCUGGUUUACAGUGUUCUGUCAAUUUUCUACUGUAUAGCAUGGUAACCCAGUUACACAUACAUGUAAAGAUUCUUUUUUCUCACAUUAUCAUGCUCCAUCCUAAGUGACUAGAUACAGUUCCCAGGGCUGCACAGCAGGAUCUUUAGGGCCGCACCUGUGGCAUAGGGAAGUUCCCAGGAUAGGGGUCGAGCUGCAGCUGCUGGCCUACACCACAGCCACAGCCACAGCCACAGCCACAGCCACAGCCAUGCUGGAUCCGAGCCGCACCUACAACCCACAGCACAGCUUGCAGCAACACCAGAUCCUUAACCCGCUAAGUGAGGCCAGGGAUCAAACCAAAUCCUCACAGACACUAUGUGGGUUCUUAAGCCACUGAGCCACAUGGGGAAACUCCAAAUUUGGUCCACUUCUGAAGCACCCUAGACAUCUAUCUCUUCUAGUUGUAAGCAUGAGCAUACGCCACUUAGAAGAACCAGCUCUGUCACCUAAAGGGACCACAGUGCAAAGGAGAAGCCAGGAGACAGCUAAACAGGCACCCCUCUCACAUGGAGGUCACCCCGAUGACAGGCACCAUGUCUUCUCAAUUAGAAAAACCGGGACGAAUCGAAAUGCGGGAGGCAGAUGGAGUUGUUCAACCUUCAAGACCAUGUUGCAUUUUCACAACUCCAGGCACAACCUUCCACACAGUUGGUCCUUUUUAGGGCGCCGGUGCUACAGGUAAAAUGGAUUCAAAAGCCCCCAUUUCUUGUCUCUGAAUCAUCCUUAUGCAAACCUUUGGCCCGUCUCCCAUGAUGACGGAUAGAGAAAAGCCUCGCUGAUUCCAAAACUGCCACGGCAGAAGGGAAAGGCUUGUAUCUAUCGGAGAGGUGUUAAAUGAGAAGACACAGGAGAGAAAUGCGCUUUGUCUUCUCUUCCAAGUGCACGCGCUAAAACGAAACAACAAAGCACUGCCGAGAAGGAGCCGGCUCAGACCUGCUUACCGCCUCCUAACCUAUUUACAUGUUGCUGAUCUGUCCCACUUCACCAGCCUCAAGUACAAAAUGAGGUCAGAGUCCUUUUUAAUAUUCAAAAUUCAAUUACUCUGGGAGCAUAAAUUGGCUCAACCUUUUUGGAGGGCAAUUGGAGAGCAGCUCCCCAAACUUGAAAUGUGCUCCGCUUUGAAUGCACGAACGCUUCUAGGAAUCCCUCCUACAGAAAUAUUUACCCCAAUACCAAAAGAUCUAAGAGUCUGUUAAAAUAUGUUUGCUGCAGCGUUGCAUGGAAAAGUCAGCAAGGAAGCGGGAGGAACUUGACUGCCGAUUCUAUUCACAGGGGGACUGGCUGGAAAGAAUGAGGAGGGUAUAAAAAGUUCUUGUUCCAGAAAACUUCCUAGACAAUCGUCCAGGGAUAAGAGAAAGUCACGUAACCACACAGACAGCACAAUGACAUUGGUAUUUAAAAAUACACUCUCUGUAUCUAUUUAUACCUAUAGAUAAGUCUACACCUUCAUCUAUGUCUGUGUCUUUAUCCAAAUCUGUACCUACAUAUAUAGAAAGAGAGGUGUCCACAUCUAAGCUAUAGCCAUAGCUGUCUAUCUAUAUCUACAUCUGUUUCUAUCUGGGUCUAUAUCUAUAUUCAUGUUUAUAUAAGAGUCGGAAAAAGAAAAUAUCAUCAAGAGACAAGGUGAAAGGAAACUUUCAAAAAUCACAAAUGAUUUUGUCUUGGAGUUUUUUCAUAUAUUUGGGUGUUACUGAUGUAGUUUGCAGAUUCACAUGGCCUUGAGCCAUGUCCUAUGUCCCAGGCAAGGUCUUUCUUCUGGCCCCAAGGUCCCCCGCUGUGAUCGCACUGGGAAUGCCAGUCCCACCAGCAGGACGGGAGAGAGAAAUAGGGCCACUCAGUCAGUGCAGCGCGGACGAGUCUGCCCGGGCUCAGCCAGAGAACUGCUGCCCGCAGCCCGGGGCCGGCUCUGUCUCCUAAAGGAAGACACCCAUUUGGGGCAUAGACCACGUGGUAGGUUAGGGGCUCAGACUCAGGGGGCUCCUUCCCAGAGCGUCGGUGUUUCCCGGACCUCCCCGUGCGGUGGUGGGGCCUCACUGGUGUUGGCCCCUGCAGUAGCCAAGACACAGCUGGACCAGAAAGACGAGGCUCCCUUGACCUGCGUGAGCCAUACCCAAGGACCAGAGAAACAGGGUCACCCCAGCCCAGAAAGGCAAGAGCACUGAGCCAUGACCUCGUCAGGCCUGGGGUCACAGACUCCCCAGCCUCGUGGGAAGGAACCCACAGGGACUCUGCAGACGGAGGUGAUGGCAGGUCCACCAGGCAGUGAGCUGAGGGCUCAAUCCAGGGAUGACGGUACCAUGUCCUAACUUCAGAGGUUGUGAGCCGAGGUCCUUACACUACACAAUGCAUGAACACACACACGUGUGCACACCAGCGCUCAAGACUUGCAAGGGCCUAUCUCAAAAGCAGACUGUGGCUCAGCGGGUUAUGAACCCAACUAGUAUCCAUGAGGACUUGGGUUCCAUCCCUGGGGUUUAGGACCCAGUGUUGCCAUGAGCUGCAGUGUAGUUCAAAGUUGUGGCUCGGAUCUGGUGUUGCUAUGGCUGUGGCUGGGCUGUAGGCCUCAGCUGCAGCUCCAAUUGGACCCCAGCCCAGGAACUUCCAGAUACCGCAGGUGUAGCACAUUAAAAAACAAAAACAAAAAACAAAAAAACAGAUGCUGAGACAGAAAUUCAAGCGGAUUGUUGCUUCUCUGGGAUAGGAUCCCAGGAGACAGUCAGGGGAAUAAGAAAUGAGAGCGGGCAGAGCCGUCAGUGCUGCUGUCACUGUGUGCCCCACCCAGGAGCCGGGUGCUGGUCCACCAGCUCCUGUCAAUCCCUGGGGGAAGGAUGUUCCCUGGGGAGACGGGCAUUACCCCCUGUGCUGGUUUCCUGUGGCCACCGAACGCAGUGGCACACACAUUGGCAGCGUCAACAACAGACACUUGUUGCCUCCCGGUCCUGGAGGCUGCAAGUCCAAAGUCAAAGGGCUAAAAGUGUUGGUUGCUUCCGAGGGCUGGGAGGGAAACUCCAUCCCCUGAGUCUCUUCUCGUGUCCAGGGGUUCGCUGCGAUCCUGGGCGUUCCUUGGCUUGUAGAGGCCUCCCCAGAUCUCCGCCUUCACCUCCACAAAGUGCCUCUGCUGUGCACAUGUCCGCAACCAAAUUCCCCUUAUUUAAUAAAAGCAAAAUCCUACUGGACGAGGGCCCACCCUAAGGACCUCAUCAUCUGCAAGGUCCCAAUUUCCCAAUAAGGUCACAUUCACAGGGACAAGAAGAGGACUUCAAUGCGAUUCAACUCAUAGCGGGCCCCUGGCUCUUGCUGCCACACACAGGCCAGCAAGGAAAGCCCGAGGCAGAGUCCCUGGUGUCUCAGGUGCUGGAAGAUUGACGACCCCGGCAGGCCAAGGGGACCUGAGCAAGACACCAACAGCAUCUGCUCCAGCCUCUGCGCUCCUGAGCCACACUCCCCCGGCUGCACUUCCAACGCAGCACAAAUCGGGCAAGAGCUGAAAAGGCCAUCAACCCCUCAAGCAUGACUAAAAGAUGAAGCAUCAUGCCUUCAGACCAAAACCCGAGUGUUCGUUCGGCUCAGCUGCCAGGCGGUUAUCUGCCCAGGAAUGGGAAGUGCCUCCUAAUGGCCCUUCAAAUCAUUUCAUUAAAAGCUGCCGUGAUGUCUACAGCCGAAGUCGGGUCGUGCUGGGAAGGCCAUUAGGUUAAUCAAAACACGGGGACAGCUCGCCAUCUACCCCUAAUUAACAAAUCAGGUCCCGCUGCUGACUCUGCAAAACGGAGAGCUGGCCGUAAACCCUCGGGGUGGUCAGGACGCUGGGAGCCCCCUUCCACCACUGACAGCUGCUCGGAACGAAGGAGGACCUCCAUGCCUAGGCAGGAGGAUUAUUCCCACAGUGAGCUUGCUGGGAGGCCUCCAGGAUGGCUCUUUUACCACCCAAUACCUACCAUCCUCUAGCAUUC
Molecule: long non-coding RNA, 6572 nt
Filed under: Sus scrofa (pig)
Lineage: Eukaryota; Metazoa; Chordata; Mammalia; Artiodactyla; Suidae
Description: lncRNA (ENSSSCG00000059976.1)
Source: RNAcentral